UACGUACUGUGCGAACGUUAUUCGGAAUCACUGGGCUUAAAGGGUGUGUAGGCGGCUAGCUAAGUAGGGUGUGAAAGGCCUCGGCCUAACCGAGGCAUUGCGCUCUAAACUGACUGGCUUGAGUAAGAUAGGGGUGUGCGGAACUUCCAGUGGAGCGGUGAAAUGUGUUGAUAUUGGAAGGAACGCCGGUGGCGAAAGCGGCACACUGGGUCUUGACUGACGCUGAGACACGAAAGCCAGGGUAGCGAACGGGAUUAGAUACCCCGGUAGUCCUGGCUGUAAACGAUGAGCACUAGUUGGGAGGGGCUUCGGCCCAUCCGAACGCAGCGAAAGCAUUAAGUGCUCCGCCUGGGGAGUAUGGUCGCAAGGCUGAA
RNAcentral lists this ribosomal RNA (374 nucleotides) under uncultured bacterium. RNAcentral describes it as "bacterial SSU rRNA". It matches the Rfam family "Bacterial small subunit ribosomal RNA", at positions 524 to 898 of the family's 1533-position model. The record is from RNAcentral.